RNAcentral lists this long non-coding RNA (1568 nucleotides) under Homo sapiens (human). RNAcentral's name for it is "HSALNT0360494". The record is from RNAcentral. Lineage: Eukaryota; Metazoa; Chordata; Mammalia; Primates; Hominidae.
CUCGGAGCUCCAUUCUCGAAGAUCCACCUGCCCGCCCAGCAAGGGUCUCUACCUGGGCAUCUAACAGGACUCUUGAUCCCGAGGUGGUCAAAGCAGGCCCUGCUCAGUGAGCAGCAUCACCUCCCAUGCCCUCCUCCCACCCAGCCGUGCAGGCCAAAGCCAGGAACCCCAGAAAACAUGCCUCAGCUGCAGGUGCACAGUGGGGGCCCCGAGGUAGGAGGGGGAGCAGCCUGCCGUUCUGAGACCCACCCACCUCGACAGAAGGCCUCUCUGGGGUCCAGGCUGAUUGAUUAUGCACCGCAGACAAAAAUCAGUAGAGCAAAAUUGGGAACUUGGAAGGAGGUAAACAGAGCCCUCCCUCUACUGGCUAUGGUGGAGCUCCCUGGAGCUCUGGGCAGGGGGUUCCGGGUAGAAAGAGAGAAGAGAGGAGUUAACACCAACCACCCAGCUCAUGCGGGAGCCUGAAGGUGAAGAACCAGAGGAUGGCGUUCACAGGAGGCAGAGGCAGCAUGGGGCCCCCACUCAUUUUACCAUCACGGAAAUGGCUCUGGAGUGGCCGGGCCCCAAGGGAAGCAGUCUCCCCAGCUCCAAGGCUGGCUGGAUUUUUCUGAACUUUAGUGCUUACGUAGGUUUUCUGGGUGAUCUUGUGGCUUGAAAAGGCUCCCCUUUACCUCCCAGGAACUCCCCUAGAGACAAAGGGAGCUUGCUGACCGGAGAACUCGGAACACACCCAUCCACAGCAAACACACCCCGGCCCAGGCUCACCAGGCACAGGGGCAUCAGGCGGUGGGCGGGAGCCCAGAGGCUGCCCUGCCUGGACAGGGCCAUGUGGAUUAUUCUAAAGGGACAGUGUGGCCACCCACCUCCACUCACUGUUACAAGCCAGCAUCUGAGAUUAUGCAAUAUAUGUGGACAGCUGAUAACCGACACUGACCACUCAGCAGUUUAGAAGCAAGGAAGUGCUGUAUCACUGGAACGACAUCCUGCCAGGGCCCAGGACGCCCGAUGGCCCCGCUGGUCAGGGCUGGGUCCAGCCUGAGCAGCCCUCCCUCAGACUGCUUCUCCUGGCGGUGCAGGGCCAGCCCCGACCUCCACCAGGCAGCCAGAAUUCCUCCGCUUUCAGGGGACUGCAGGAAUGAACUGGAACUCCACACCGAGGACAGGUGUGCCGCCACGACAGCUCACAGCCAUCAGGAAGCACAAGGUCCUGCUUCUGCCGGUGACUUAGAAAGUGGUAUCUGGGACGCACCAUGAAGUGAAAUGAGCAAGGUGCAAAGAGGAACAGGACAAUUCCAUUUCUAAAAACCAAACAGGACAACCUCCUGUGUGUGUGCGCGCGUGUGCGUGUGUGUGUGCAGAAAAAGAAGCCUGAAGGGUUAACAGAGCUAAAUCUGGGUGGGAGGCGGGUUAAGAGCGGGAGAGGUGCAGAAAACAUGAAAACCAUAGUGAAAGAGCAGCGUGUGUGUGAUGUGAUAUUCCCUGAAAAUGUAGAAUACCGAAUUCUACCUGUACUAUUUUUGUAUCUAAAAACUGAUAUAAAACAAAGUAAGUACGCCUGUGGACAAACA